AGAGUUUGAUCCUGGCUCAGGACGAACGCUGGCGGCGUGCCUAAUACAUGCAAGUCGAGCGAACCGACGGGAGCUUGCUCCCUUAGGUCAGCGGCGGACGGGUGAGUAACACGUGGGUAACCUGCCUGUAAGACUGGGAUAACUCCGGGAAACCGGGGCUAAUACCGGAUGCUUGAUUGAACCGCAUGGUUCAAUCAUAAAAGGUGGCUUUUAGCUACCACUUGCAGAUGGACCCGCGGCGCAUUAGCUAGUUGGUGAGGUAACGGCUCACCAAGGCGACGAUGCGUAGCCGACCUGAGAGGGUGAUCGGCCACACUGGGACUGAGACACGGCCCAGACUCCUACGGGAGGCAGCAGUAGGGAAUCUUCCGCAAUGGACGAAAGUCUGACGGAGCAACGCCGCGUGAGCGAAGAAGGUCUUCGGAUCGUAAAGCUCUGUUGUUAGGGAAGAACAAGUACCGUUCGAAUAGGGCGGUACCGUGACGGUACCUAACCAGAAAGCCACGGCUAACUACGUGCCAGCAGCCGCGGUAAUACGUAGGUGGCAAGCGUUGUCCGGAAUUAUUGGGCGUAAAGCGCGCGCAGGCGGCUUCUUAAGUCUGAUGUGAAAGCCCGCGGCUUAACCGCGGAGGGUCAUUGGAAACUGGGGAGCUUGAGUGCAGAAGAGGAGAGUGGAAUUCCACGUGUAGCGGUGAAAUGCGUAGAGAUGUGGAGGAACACCAGUGGCGAAGGCGGCUCUCUGGUCUGUAACUGACGCUGAGGCGCGAAAGCGUGGGGAGCAAACAGGAUUAGAUACCCUGGUAGUCCACGCCGUAAACGAUGAGUGCUAAGUGUUAGAGGGUUUCCGCC
RNAcentral lists this ribosomal RNA (849 nucleotides) under Bacillus sp. enrichment culture. RNAcentral's name for it is "bacterial SSU rRNA". It matches the Rfam family "Bacterial small subunit ribosomal RNA", at positions 8 to 837 of the family's 1533-position model. Lineage: Bacteria; Bacillati; Bacillota; Bacilli; Caryophanales; Bacillaceae. The record is from RNAcentral.